GACGAACGCUGGCGGCGUGCUUAACACAUGCAAGUCGAACGGAAAGGCCUGCUUUCCCUUGUGGAUUGCGGGUACUCGAGUGGCGAACGGGUGAGUAACACGUGAGUGAUCUGCCCCCAACUUGGGUAUAAGCCUGGGAAACUGGGUCUAAUUCCCGAUAGGACUGCAGGGUGGUGCCUGUGGUGGAAAACGAUUUUCUAGUGGUUGGGGAUGAGCUCGCGGCCUAUCAGCUUGUUGGUGGGGUAAUGGCCUACCAAGGCGGCGACGGGUAGCCGGCCUGAGAGGGUGGACGGCCACAUUGGGACUGAGAUACGGCCCAGACUCCUACGGGAGGCAGCAGUGGGGAAUAUUGCACAAUGGGCGGAAGCCUGAUGCAGCGACGCCGCGUGGGGGAUGACGGCCUUCGGGUUGUAAACUCCUUUCGACCGCGAGGAAGCCACCUGGUUGGAAGGGUGGUGACGGUAGUGUUAGAAGAAGCACCGGCUAACUACGUG
Molecule: ribosomal RNA, 494 nt
Filed under: uncultured bacterium
Lineage: Bacteria
Description: partial 16S ribosomal RNA
Rfam family: Bacterial small subunit ribosomal RNA
Source: RNAcentral